GACGAACGCUGGCGGCGUGCUUAACACAUGCAAGUCGAAUGGAAAGGCCCCCUUGUGGGGUACUCGAGUGGCGAACGGGUGAGUAACACGUGAGUAACCUACCCUUGACUUUGGGAUAACUUCAGGAAACUGGGGCUAAUACCGGAUAGGAGCUCCUGCUGCAUGGUGGGGGUUGGAAAGUUUCGGCGGUUGGGGAUGGACUCGCGGCUUAUCAGCUUGUUGGUGGGGUAGUGGCUCACCAAGGCUUUGACGGGUAGCCGGCCUGAGAGGGUGACCGGCCACAUUGGGACUGAGAUACGGCCCAGACACCUACGGGAGGCAGCAGUGGGGAAUAUUGCACAAUGGGCGGAGGCCUGAUGCAGCAACGCCGCGUGCGGGAUGACGGCCUUCGGGUUGUAAACCGCUUUCGCCUGUGACGAAGCGUGAGUGACGGUAAUGGGUAAAGAAGCACCGGCUAACUACGUG
RNAcentral lists this ribosomal RNA (465 nucleotides) under uncultured bacterium. RNAcentral's name for it is "partial 16S ribosomal RNA". It matches the Rfam family "Bacterial small subunit ribosomal RNA", at positions 28 to 507 of the family's 1533-position model. The record is from RNAcentral.